UUCAACAACUAAGAAUAUUCCGCAAUGGUCGAAAGACUGACGGAGCGACGCCGCGUGAAUGAUGAAGGCCGUGAGGUUGUAAAGUUCUUUUCUGGAGGGAGAAUAAGUGCAUCAGGGAAUGGGUGCAUGAUGACGUGAAUCCAGGAAUAAGCCCCGGCCAACUACGUGCCAGCAGCCGCGGUAACACGUAGGGGGCAAGCGUUGUUCGGAAUUAUUGGGCGUAAAGGGCGCGCAGGCGGCCUGGCAAGUCUGCUGUUAAAUGGUUGAGCUUAACUCAAUCAUGCGGUGGAAACUACAAGGCUAGAAUCAACGAGGGGAUGCCGGAAUUCCAGGUGUAGGGGUGAAAUCUGUAGAUAUCUGGAAGAACACCAAUGGCGAAGGCAGGCAUCUGGCGACUGAUUGACGCUGAGGCGCGAAGGUGCGGGGAGCAAACAGGUUUAGAUAUCCUGGUAGUCCGCACAGUAAACGAUGUGCACCAGGUGGCGGGUAGCAGUACUCGGUACCGAAGCAAACGCAUUAAGUGCACCGCCUGGGGAGUAUGCUCGCAAGGGUGAAACUCAAAGGAAUUGACGG
Molecule: ribosomal RNA, 573 nt
Filed under: uncultured rumen bacterium
Lineage: Bacteria
Description: bacterial SSU rRNA
Rfam family: Bacterial small subunit ribosomal RNA
Source: RNAcentral